This 115-nucleotide small RNA is filed under the name Nomascus leucogenys (northern white-cheeked gibbon). RNAcentral describes it as "Y RNA (ENSNLEG00000020066.2)". Lineage: Eukaryota; Metazoa; Chordata; Mammalia; Primates; Hylobatidae. The record is from RNAcentral.
GCCUGGAUGAAAAAGUGAGACCCUGUCUAAAAAAAAAAAAACUGAGGAUAUUGAGGAUAGUUACAGAUUUAUUUGUUCCUCCUCCAUUCCCGCUGCUUCAUUUAGCUAGCCUUAA